CCUACGGGGGGCUGCAGUGGGGAAUUUUGGACAAUGGGGGCAACCCUGAUCCAGCCAUGCCGCGUGCGGGAAGAAGGCCUUCGGGUUGUAAACCGCUUUUGUCAGGGAAGAAAUCUUCCGCGCUAAUACCUUGGGAGGAUGACGGUACCUGAAGAAUAAGCACCGGCUAACUACGUGCCAGCAGCCGCGGUAAUACGUAGGGUGCAAGCGUUGCUCGGAAUUACUGGGCGUAGAGCGUGCGCAGGCGGUUGAAAUCCCCGGGCGUAACCUGGGAACUGCACGUGGGACUGUAAGGCUGGAGUACGGCAGAGGGGGAUGGAAGUCCGCGUGUAGCAGUGAAAUGCGUAGAUAUGAGGAGGAACACCGAUGGCGAAGGCAGUCCCCUGGGCCUGUACUGACGCUCAUGCACGAAAGCGUGGGGAGCAAACAGGAUUAGAUACCCCAGUAGUC
Molecule: ribosomal RNA, 450 nt
Filed under: uncultured bacterium
Lineage: Bacteria
Description: partial 16S ribosomal RNA
Rfam family: Bacterial small subunit ribosomal RNA
Source: RNAcentral